GAUCUGGUUUGGAUUUAACACCGGCGAUUCAUUUUAAUUAAAGAAACGAAUCUAAAAAAUUUUACGGUAAUACAGUGGUUGUGGGUGGGUUAUUUCUCUCUAUGGUUCUCAAUUUCUCAGUUAUUCUAAGUUUUUCUCAAGGGUUGCCUACUCUCUAGUGCUCAAUUUGUCAGCUGUUCUCUGUUUUCUCAAUUUAUAUUUUUGGUUGCUGGAGAUUGCCGGUGGGCGUCAGCUUGGAGUAGCCUUUUCUCAGUGGUUCUAUUGACUCGACUCUCUUUUUUCAGUGGUUUUCUACUGUCGGUCGCAGCCCAAGGUGAUCAGGUCGCAGGUUGUACAACUACCUUUCUCUGGUCAAAUAUUGUUCCAGCUCACUGUGCAAUCAACUCCACCUCGCUGCUCCUGCAAAGAACUUCCUCCUCACCGGUUGCUGGUCCAAUUCCACAUUCUUCAACAGAAACAUUAUGCAAAUGUCUGGCACCUAUGCUUUCCUAGCUGAACGUGAACUAGAAGAUCUCUGCAAAGCUUGUGGCCUGGUUGGUUUUACAUGUAUAGAGGAAUGGACGCAUUGUGAUGUUUACUGCUGCCAAAACCCAAAUGAGAAUUUAGUGCCACAUUACACAUUGCCUACCGCUCUCUGUUCUGGUCACUAAAACCCUAUUCAGCUGCAAUGAUCACUAAAACCCUAUUCAGCUGCAAAGAUAAAAGUAAAAACAUAUGACUGUUGUUGUGGAUAUGUUUAGUCAAAGUAGAGGAAUAUGAUUAGGAAAUCUGUAAAUAUGAAUUUCAUUAGAUGCCUGUGGCAAAAUAAAAUGAAGUGAAAUAUGGUUAAUUUUCUUGUAGA
Mangifera indica (mango) is the source of this 841-nucleotide long non-coding RNA. RefSeq lists it as uncharacterized. The transcript is spliced from 3 exons. NCBI's taxonomy places the organism in Eukaryota, Viridiplantae, Streptophyta, Magnoliopsida, Sapindales, Anacardiaceae. The record is from RefSeq and is a predicted model, not a curated record.